Non-coding RNA from Dictyocaulus viviparus (bovine lungworm), 82 nucleotides. Lineage: Eukaryota; Metazoa; Nematoda; Chromadorea; Rhabditida; Metastrongylidae. The record is from Rfam.
UUAACUCGUAUCUGAAGAGAGCCGUCUAUUGACAGUUCGCUAUGGACGCUGUCAUGGAGCAGCUCUCUUCAGAUGAACCAAU